UCCUUCACUACUAUCAACACGCGCGACGCCUCCCCCACAGUCCUCCGGUCCUCGUUUCUCGCAAGGGAUCCUAUUGUAGGCACCCGUAUCAUUUGGUUACCCUCACAUAUGCCGCUCUCGAGCCUGUAACAGGACGUCGUGAAUGCCGCAGCCGGAUUAUGGUGGGUAGCGCGUCCUGUGUAGGAUGUACCAAGCGGGCAGGUGAACGAGGUUCGGAACUUAACCCUAAGAAGAUAUCUGGUUAUCAAGUUUUGCGCUCUUGUCGCCCAAGUCGUCUUUUAUGCCGGUGAAGCACCAGCUGUCAUGAUGCCCGCUGAAAAGUUGGAUGAUUGACUCAUGGCGCUACUGCCGACGGACAGGCGAGGAGGGCAGUCCAGUCACCAUUUGGUGCGCGAGAGGAUCGGUGCCAUGAGUCGUUUGGUAAGAGCCUCUGGUCCGAGGACGCUCGUCAGCCCUUUCCGCUGGAACCAGCACAUUGGUCAAGAGUAGACCGUCUAGUCGUUGUGAUUAGCUCUGGGUUUUGGGGAUGGAACUAGUCUGACCACUUGUUCAUAUUGCUAGCCUGCUCAUUGCGCACAAGCAGCUGAGAAGUGGAGCUUCGGUUUGGCCUUCAAACAGCCAGUCACUGAAUUUCAUUCAUGUCCCGAGUUUUCGCUUGCCGGAACCGCCAGUUAGGGUAAUUCCAUCUGGUGCAGUGGGCAACUCGUGGAAACACACAGAAAUCCAGCGACUGACAUAUCUUGCCAAUCGUAUAGCUCCCGGUCCUUCACAGCUGCUCGUGGCAUGGUGUGUUGCUGCACUACAUAUCUCCUAACCCGUUCGCACACUGGACCACACCACAGCACUUGCUACCGGUGUGUGACGCUCCGCGUCUGGUCUGACCAAGCGCAUUAACCUCCAGCCAUGGGUCACAAUCCCUUGGUCAUGAUGGGCGCCAGCAAGCCUGCAAGGAUCAGAAGGUCUGAACAGGUCCCUCAGAUCCGCCGAAAGGUUGAACUGAGAUGAAAGGGUGGUUUUUAUGGAUGUCUUUUGUCCACCCGUCAAAGCCCUCCAUACCUCUCGCUGGCGAGAAAUUUGGAGAGGAAUCAAAAACUAGUCCUAGUUGGCAGCGCGAAUCAUACAGAAGGAGCUCUCUCGUCAGUGUCGGUGGGUUUUCAGACUGCGUUCUGCCAUGGCAACCUUUUGGUGGAGUCGUGUUUACGAAGGUACUGGGGUCAUUAUGGGAUCGUCAGCUCACGACACAGUCUUCACCUUUGCAAUGGCCGUUGUUGCAGGAGGAUACUUGCGGUUGGUGUUGGAAGCAUCACCGGGACCCAUCUCGAGUUGGAGUCAAAGUUUCGUGCUUGUCUGGUGCUGUGAAAGACCCUUUCGUCAAGUUGAAUUUCACGACUCUGGCCGCACUGUUGAGGCUGGGUUGUAUUGUUGGAUCUAGGACAGGCCUUGUUGGGUAGGGUAGUCCUGGCUGUUCUCUCGCCUGAAAAUGGUGUGGAGGACAGCCCCCCGCGGUGAGG
This 1511-nucleotide telomerase RNA is filed under the name Fusarium fujikuroi IMI 58289. RNAcentral's name for it is "Ascomycota telomerase RNA". It matches the Rfam family "Ascomycota telomerase RNA", at positions 188 to 1858 of the family's 1858-position model. Lineage: Eukaryota; Fungi; Ascomycota; Sordariomycetes; Hypocreales; Nectriaceae. The record is from Rfam by way of RNAcentral.